AAAAAAUAACUAAAAUGAAGAUAAGUCCUGUCAGUAACGUCAUUUCAAAUGGCAGCUGUGACCUUACACUGAACUGCACUGCAGAUGGUUCUGAUGUCUCCUAUUCAUGGACAGUCCCUAACAACAAGCCCUCAUCUUACAGUGGAGCCAACCUGCACGUUAACCUGGCAGUGACCGAUGAAGGGAUAUUAAUUACUUGCAAUGCCAGCAAUCGCAUCAAUAAUUAAAUAAAUCAGUUUAAUACAACAAGUAUUUGUAGAGUACCAAAUAAUGCUCCUCCUAACAUAUGGGACAUGAUCCGACUUAUUGUUGGUGGCUGUAUUUGCCUUUUCGCUUUCACAGGAAUUAUCAUUUGUGAGACCUACAUAUAAAAAAAAAAAGUAAUAAAACCACAAAGUCUUCAAAGGAUAAAGGAACCACUAACUGCAAAACUAACCAGCUUUUGCCAUUCUUGGAGCAUACAGAAAUGACUAGAAGCCCCUUAACAAAAACGAACAUAAUUUAGAAAACAUUUGCAAUGCUUUCAGAGAAGAGAACUUCAACAUUGUUGUUGCCUGCAAUUUGCAAAAGACUUGUCAUAAACUAAAAACACUAGGCAGCUUUUACCAUCCUUGGAGCAUGCAGAGAUGACUGGCAAGACUUCAUCAGACUUUGACUUACACUGGAAAACUUUUGCAAUGCUGUCAGUGAUGAAAAUUUUAAUAUGUUCAUUUCAUGUUACUCAGUGUUAAGCUUCAGCAUGUUCUUCAUAACAGCACUUUAUUUUGACACUUUAGGAAAAAAUAUUACAGUUCUAAAUAUGUAUUGUGCUGUAUUCAUGAUUAUUAAUGCACUGCUGAAAAAUUCAAUGUGUAUACCUUCAUAUGUCAAAUCUAUAUAUUUUAAGACUUG
Long non-coding RNA from Protopterus annectens (West African lungfish), 891 nucleotides. RefSeq lists it as uncharacterized. The transcript is spliced from 3 exons. Lineage: Eukaryota; Metazoa; Chordata; Ceratodontiformes; Protopteridae. The record is from RefSeq and is a predicted model, not a curated record.